AGUGAACGCUGGCGGCGUGCCUAAUACAUGCAAGUCGAACGGAGUGGCGCACGGGUGUGUAAUGUAUAGCUAAUCUGCCCUACACUAGAGGACAACAGUUGGAAACGGCUGCUAAUACUCUAUAGUGUAGGAUGAGGCGAUAUUGUAUCAGCUAGUUGGUGAGGGAAUGGCUCACCAAGGCUAUGACGGAUAACUGGUCUGCGAGGAUGAUGAGUCACACUCGAACUGAGACACGGUCGAGACACCUACGGGAAGCAGCAGUAGGGAGAAUUGCUCAAUGGGGGAAACCCUGAAGCAGAAACGCGGCGUGGAGGAUGAAACUUUUCGCGGCGUAUACUCAUUUUGAUAGGGAAGCGGUACCUAACGAAUAAGCACCGGCUAACUCCGUGCCAGCAGCCGCGGUAAUUC
This 408-nucleotide ribosomal RNA is filed under the name uncultured bacterium. Its description in RNAcentral is "partial 16S ribosomal RNA". It matches the Rfam family "Bacterial small subunit ribosomal RNA", at positions 29 to 526 of the family's 1533-position model. The record is from RNAcentral.